This 274-nucleotide ribosomal RNA is filed under the name uncultured bacterium. RNAcentral's name for it is "partial 16S ribosomal RNA". It matches the Rfam family "Bacterial small subunit ribosomal RNA", at positions 523 to 796 of the family's 1533-position model. The record is from RNAcentral.
AUACGGAGGGUGCGAGCGUUAAUCGGAAUUACUGGGCGUAAAGCGCGCGUAGGCGGUUUGGUCAGUCAGAUGUGAAAGCCCUGGGCUCAACCUGGGAACUGCAUUUGAUACUGCCAGGCUAGAGUAUGGUAGAGGGAAGUGGAAUUCCGGGUGUAGCGGUGAAAUGCGUAGAUAUCCGGAGGAACACCAGUGGCGAAGGCGACUUCCUGGACCAAUACUGACGCUGAGGUGCGAAAGCGUGGGGAGCAAACGGGAUUAGAAACCCCAGUAGUCC